UUAGGAAUUUUGGGCAAUGGCCGCAAGGCUGACCCAGCAACGCCGCGUGGGGGACGAAGGCCUUCGGGUUGUAAACCCCUUUUCCCAGGGACGAUGAUGACGGUACCUGGGGAAUAAGCCCCGGCUAACUACGUGCCAGCAGCCGCGGUAAUACGUAGGGGGCAAGCGUUGUCCGGAUUCAUUGGGCGUAAAGCGCGGGCAGGCGGCCCGUUAAGUCGGCCGUGAAAGCGCCGGGCUCAACUCGGCGAGGACGGGCGAGACUGACGGGCUCGAGGUUGGCAGAGGGCGGUGGAAUUCCGGGUGUAGUGGUGGAAUGCGUAGAGCUCCGGAGGAACACCAGUGGCGAAGGCGGCCGCCUGGGCCAAUACUGACGCUGAGCCGCGAAAGCGUGGGGAGCGAGCCGGAUUAGAUACCCGUGUAGUCC
RNAcentral lists this ribosomal RNA (424 nucleotides) under uncultured bacterium. RNAcentral describes it as "bacterial SSU rRNA". It matches the Rfam family "Bacterial small subunit ribosomal RNA", at positions 355 to 796 of the family's 1533-position model. The record is from RNAcentral.